GGAGGAAAGCAGGGGAUCGUAAGACCUCGCGUUAUUAGAGCGGCCGAUAUCUGAUUAGCUAGUUGGUGAGGUAAAGGCUCACCAAGGCGACGAUCAGUAGCUGGUCUGAGAGGACGACCAGCCACACUGGAACUGAGACACGGUCCAGACUCCUACGGGAGGCAGCAGUGGGGAAUUUUGGACAAUGGGCGCAAGCCUGAUCCAGCCAUUCCGCGUGAGUGAAGAAGGCCUUCGGGUUGUAAAGCUCUUUCGCAAGGGAAGAAACGAUUCAUCCUAAUACGGUGAGUUAAUGACGGUACCUUGAUAAGAAGCACCGGCUAACUACGUGCCAGCAGCCGCGGUAAUACGUAGGGUGCGAGCGUUAAUCGGAAUUACUGGGCGUAAAGCGUGCGCAGGCGG
Molecule: ribosomal RNA, 399 nt
Filed under: uncultured bacterium
Lineage: Bacteria
Description: bacterial SSU rRNA
Rfam family: Bacterial small subunit ribosomal RNA
Source: RNAcentral